RNAcentral lists this long non-coding RNA (2388 nucleotides) under Olea europaea subsp. europaea. The record is from RNAcentral. Lineage: Eukaryota; Viridiplantae; Streptophyta; Magnoliopsida; Lamiales; Oleaceae.
GUCUGAUUAGGUUUUUCAGUCUUCUUUGAAGUUACCGUUGAUAUCUCGUUUCUUAGAGAUUUUCUGGUCUAUGUUGUUUGGUCUAACUGAUGACUUAAUGGCUUAGUCCCUAGUGUUUGGACGGAAUGAGUGCUGUAUAUUCUUGAGAGGUUUGAGAGGGUUACUAUGUUGUAUCAUUGUGAAUAUUUGUUAACUUCGUGACCAUUUCUGGUGUUCUGUGUUAUGAUUUCUGCAGUGCUUGUGAAAAUUUACCGAUUUCGUGGUGCUUGGAUUCUAUACAGUAGGAUUAAUCGAUUUAAGGUAAAGCUCAUUGUGCAGGCAGUCGCAGGCAUCUGGAGAGAGGUGGAGGUGCAAGCUCUUUAAAUUCUGGACGAAACCUUGAAACAAGGCAACACAAGUUGGGUAUAAAGAAUGGCAAAGACAUCCUAAAAAAGAGAGAGAGUAGCAUUUCGUAUAACACUUCCAGGCAAUCAGCAAGCAUUUCUUCUUUAGGUGAUAGCAGAGAAAAGGUAUCAAUCAUCACAACUGUCAGAUGUAACUUUUGAGUGGUAAUGACCACCACAAUGUUUGUUGUUUUAUCUGAUUGUGUUGGAUGAAUUGGUUUUACCAAUUAUUUUAUUUGGUACCAUUAGUUGGACAAAAGUUCUCUUUGGCCUAGUGUAUUCUACUCCAAGAGUGGAUUAAUGAUAUGUAUUUAUUAUUGCAAAACCAAUUAAGGGUGAAUGAGAAAUUACUGCCGAAAGAUGAACACUUGAAGUUGAAAUAAAGUGGGAAUGAAAAUUGGUGGGAAAUUGGAGAAUCCCAACCUACAUGCUAGUAGCUUGAGCCAAAACCCACAUGCGCUCUGUCGGUCGACAUGGCACCGAAAUUUUGCCCAAUUGUUUAGUCACUAUAAAAGAUCAUUUUGAAUAUAAAUUAUUGCAUCAGGUAACUAUAAUCACAACUGUUAAAUAUGAUUUUGUGUAGUAAUGACCGCCAUAAUGUUUAUUGUUUUAUCUGAUUGCACCAGGAAGCAGAAAGUUCUUCUAAGAAAAGAUUCACUCAUUUGUCAGAAGAACUAGACUUAGACGAUAGGUGGUUACCGCUUCUGGAUCAUUUGAGCACUUUUGGUCUUAAGGAAUCACAUUUUAUUCAAAUGUAUGAAAGGCAUAUGCCAUCCCUUCAGAUAAAUGUUGACUCUGCUGAGGAAAGAUUGGGAUAUUUGUUAAGUGUUGGCGUCAAACACAGAGAUAUCAGAAAAAUAAUUUUGAGACAGCCUCAAAUUUUGGGGUACACCAUCGAAAACAAUCUGAAGUCUCAUGUUGCCUUUUUGGGAAGAUUGGGCAUUCCAGAAUCGAGAAUAGGGCAAAUAAUUACUGCCACCCCAUCCAUGUUCUCUUACAGUAUUGAUAAUUCUUUAAAACCUACAGUCAAGUACCUUCUUGAGGAGAUAGGAAUCGAGAAGCAUGAUCUGAGUAAAGUUGUGCAGUUAAGCCCUCAAAUUCUGGUUCAGCGGAUAGACAAUACAUGGACUGCUCGUUUCAAUUUUCUGACAAAAGAAUUGGGAGCACCCAGAGAGAGUAUAGUAAAGAUGGUCACUAAACACCCUCAAAUACUACACUACAGCAUUGAAGAUGGAUUACGCCCCAGGAUCAAUUUCUUAAGAGGCAUUGGGAUGUGCAUCUCUGAUAUACUGAAAGUAUUAACUAGCCUUACACAGGUCAGCUGGAUUCUCUUGUGCAAUUGAUUUUGUACCUCAAACUACAAGCUCGACCAACUUGUCCUCAAAAUUGAAUCCAUGCCUUUUACCUUUUCAUACAGAUCUUGUUUUGCUUAACAUCACAAUCAAAUUAAAUUUUCAGAUGAUGCCAUCUGUGCUUGCAGGUAUUCUCUCUGUCAUUGGAGGGAAAUCUGAAACCUAAAUACAUGUACUUGAUCAAUGAACUUAAAAAUGAGGUCCAUUCCCUGACCAAAUAUCCGACAUACCUAAGCUUGUCUCUUGACCAGCGAAUUCGUCCUCGCCAUAGGUUUUUGGUUUCCUUGAAGAAAGCUCCGAAAGGGCCAUUUCCUUUGAGCUCACUGGUUCCAACUGAUGAAAACUUUUGCCACCAGUGGGCAGGAACUAGCUUAGACAAAUAUCUGGAUUUCCGGGAGAGAUUGCUGCUCAAAGAGUUUGCAAAGAAGUACGAAAGACAAUGAUUAGUUCCAUUCUCAUUCCUAGUCUACUUGGUAAUAGAUCACACACAUUACAGCAAAUUGAGAUGCAUAUACUCUUUUCCUGGGAACACUUGAAUAUUAAGGUGAGUCAGAUGUUCAUGAUAAUUGACACAUACAUUUAUAUCGAAGAAACAUGUAUAAUGUUAAUUUCUGUUUUAUAUCUGUGCUAGCUGUUUCUAAAUUUUGCUAUAC